UACGGAAGGCAGCAGUGGGGAAUAUUGCACAAUGGGCGCAAGCCUGAUGCAGCCAUGCCGCGUGUAUGAAGAAGGCCUUCGGGUUGUAAAGUACUUUCAGUCGUGAGGAAGGUGUUAAGGUUAAUAACCUUAGCAAUUGACGUUAGCGACAGAAGAAGCACCGGCUAACUCCGUGCCAGCAGCCGCGGUAAUACGGAGGGUGCGAGCGUUAAUCGGAAUUACUGGGCGUAAAGGGCACGCAGGCGGUUAAUUAAGUUGGAUGUGAAAUCCCCGGGCUUAACCUGGGAAUGGCAUUCAAGCUGGUUAGCUAGAGUCUUGUAGAGGGGGUAGAAUUCCAUGUGUAGCGGUGAAAUGCGUAGAGAUGUGGAGGAAUACCGGUGGCGAAGGCGGCCCCUGGACAAAGACUGACGCUCAUGUGCGAAAGCGUGGGGAGCAAACAGGGAUUUAGAUA
RNAcentral lists this ribosomal RNA (451 nucleotides) under uncultured bacterium. Its description in RNAcentral is "bacterial SSU rRNA". It matches the Rfam family "Bacterial small subunit ribosomal RNA", at positions 340 to 784 of the family's 1533-position model. The record is from RNAcentral.